Camelus dromedarius (Arabian camel) is the source of this 533-nucleotide long non-coding RNA. RefSeq lists it as uncharacterized. The record is from RefSeq and is a predicted model, not a curated record. Lineage: Eukaryota; Metazoa; Chordata; Mammalia; Artiodactyla; Camelidae. The transcript has 3 exons.
GAAGAUGGAACAUGACAUGGGGAAGUUCGGGCUACUGGUGACAUGGACAGGAAAAGGGCUUGUGCUUAGGGAAAACAACUUUCAGCCAAAGAGAAGUAUCACAUAGAGAAAAGGCAAACAAAACUAUAGCGCAUUCCCAUUAAAAGUUGGCCUUGUCUCUUGAAAUUCAAAGUUGACCGAAUAGAACACGCUUUCAUCGUCAAUCUGUGCAGCGCAGACCUCAGAACGUAUGGAAGCCGUGGGAAAUAGGAUAAAGUGAAACCCAGGACCCACCUUUUGGAACCUUAAUUUUGAAGCUGAAUUGUUUUGAAGACAUGGCUGGGACAAGAUCUCGGAGAGAGACGGGACGCAGGAUCUUUCGCUUGCUGUGCGUUUUAAAGAUAAAUGGUAAAACUGAACUGGAAAUCCAUCUGGCCGGCUGCCUGCUCUAAUGAAUAACCCCACUUUGGCGCGUGCAAUGUAAGCAGAAAGUUCUCUCCCGGCCUCUUUCGUCUGUCAUGAAUCUACGGGACAGCCGACAUAAUAUCUGGAUG